RNAcentral lists this ribosomal RNA (252 nucleotides) under uncultured bacterium. RNAcentral's name for it is "partial 16S ribosomal RNA". It matches the Rfam family "Bacterial small subunit ribosomal RNA", at positions 524 to 776 of the family's 1533-position model. The record is from RNAcentral.
UACGUAGGGUGCAAGCGUUGUCCGGAAUUAUUGGGCGUAAAGAGCUCGUAGGCGGUUUGUCGCGUCUGCUGUGAAAACUGGAGGCUCAACCCCAGCCUGCAGUGGGUACGGGCAGACUAGAGUGCGGUAGGGGAGAUUGGAAUUCCUGGUGUAGCGGUGGAAUGCGCAGAUAUCAGGAAGAACACCAAUGGCGAAAGCAGCUUUCUGGGACGGUACUGACGCUGAGACGCGAAAGCGUGGGGAGCGAACAGG